RNAcentral lists this long non-coding RNA (649 nucleotides) under Phoenix dactylifera (date palm). Its description in RNAcentral is "long non-coding RNA (PDAC_LNC019279)". The record is from RNAcentral. Lineage: Eukaryota; Viridiplantae; Streptophyta; Magnoliopsida; Arecales; Arecaceae.
UGAAGUACACAAGUUUAUGCCUCAAGUUUCUAAUUCAAAAUAACUUGUGAUAAGCUAUGAAUCAUUGGGCAUAAUGAAAAUGCUGUUUGCAUGAUAUAUAUUUAUAUGCAGCAUACUAGAUUAAUUCUUUAUUCUGCUCUUUCAUGUAACUACUUGAAAAAUAACAAAAAGAGAGAGAGAUAAAGAAAAAAAAAAUGAACAUUGCUCAGAAGAAGUAAAAGCUAAGUAAAUACUCCAAUCUUAAGUAAAAGCAGCGCAAGCAUAAUAUAUUCAGCAUAUUUGUGAGACUUGUGUGAACAUUCUUUUGAAAGGGAUAAAAUCCGUAAUUAAUUAUAUUUAAAUAGGGAGAGUUUGGAGUAAAUAUCUUGUUGCUAAAGAGAACAGUUUAACAUUUCUACAUUGCUCAUUAUAGGGAUGGUGCCAAUGGGGAGGCUAGUGGUAGUACCCGGCACUAUUUGACCCAACUAUUCGGUGUAGGGCAUAUUAGGGACGGCACAAGAGGGAGGCUAGUGGUAGUACCUCGUGCCCCUUCCAACUCCACCGGAUAGGAAGCAAAUAGAAUAUAGAGCAUAGAAAAGUAAAACCGAAAAAUAAAUGAAGAUAAUCAAAAUGCUCAUUGAAUGGUUAAAGAAAGAAAUUAAAAAUUUGA